RNAcentral lists this ribosomal RNA (253 nucleotides) under uncultured prokaryote. RNAcentral describes it as "partial 16S ribosomal RNA". It matches the Rfam family "Bacterial small subunit ribosomal RNA", at positions 525 to 777 of the family's 1533-position model. The record is from RNAcentral.
ACGUAGGGACCAAGCGUUGUUCGGAUUUACUGGGCGUAAAGCGUGCGCAGGCGGUUUUGUAAGUCUGACGUGAAAUCCCCGGGCUUAACCUGGGAAUUGCGUUGGAGACUGCAAGGCUAGAAUCUGGCAGAGGGGGGUAGAAUUCCACGUGUAGCAGUGAAAUGCGUAGAGAUGUGGAGGAACACCGAUGGCGAAGGCAGCCCCCUGGGUCAAGAUUGACGCUCAUGCACGAAAGCGUGGGGAGCAAACAGGA